Molecule: long non-coding RNA, 3272 nt
Organism: Stomoxys calcitrans (stable fly)
Lineage: Eukaryota; Metazoa; Arthropoda; Insecta; Diptera; Muscidae
Exons: 2
Source: RefSeq, a predicted model, not a curated record
CCAAGAAGGCUGUCCUUCAUUAAAAAAAACAUUUCUAUAUCCGAAGAGUUAACCCUUCUCGUCGGAUAAUUUCUAAAAAUUCUUUCAAAUAAUUCCUGAAGCUUUCUUCAAAAAUAUCGGACGCAACAAUAACCUCGCCACCAUUGCUAACAACUUUAUCCCUUCAAGGUUCAAUCAGCUUCACCAUCAUCUUCUGGAACUUAGACGGCGCAUUCUUAAGCCCGAAAGGCAUUCGAUUAAAUUCAAAAUGACCACUGUGAGUGAUGCGAGGUGUAUCCCUUCGACCGUUCUUCUCCUCCAAUGUGUUAGUUUUUACCUGAAAAUAUCGACAACACACCAUCCACAGUUGGCAUUGGUCAUGGCUGUUUGUCAGUUACCUCAUUGAAAGCCUGGUAAUCAACACAUAGUCGGUCUUCACCAUUUGCCUUUGGCGCUAGUACAAUGGGAGGUGCGUAUAACAAUGAUGACGGACGGAUAAUGUACAAAUCCAAAAGCUCGUUCACUAUUCGGUCGACCACUUGUUGUCUUGGAAUCGGUAACGCAUAUGGUUUUCUCACGAACAGUUUGGAAGGUUUAACCGAUUUUUCAAUCUUUGUUGCAUUACACUUUCCAUUCAAAUACUCACCGAAACAAUUCUAAUUAUUGUGUUAUAAACAAAACAGUUCUUUCUUUUCAUUGUCUUUCAAAUUUUCAGUACACCCAAUAUUAUUGUAAAUUUUCAUUUACCACUCGGCCAUUCACCAUAAUAUCCUAUUCAAUUAGAACUUGAUAGGUAAUUUCUUUAUCAUCGACAGCAAAAAGUUCACAAUCAUAGCAUUGUCUGUCAAUUGUUAAUUUAAUGCUUGCUGUCUUCAACCCCGUUUACACUGCUCUUUAAAUCCGGAUUUAAUGGCUAGAUCAUCUGUUUUCCCUUUAUAAAAUCAGCUGAUUUAAUGAGCAAUGUAAACGGGGUUUUACGCGCGCAACGAUAUUUGACUCCCGCGAAACCUUGGAGGGAUUUACAACGCGGCACAAAUUCAUAAUACAGUUUCUCGGCUACGCAUUGCUUUACCAGGGAAAGCGCAUUUCCCGAAUCUAUCAUUGCAAUGAAACUCAAAUCAUUUCAUUUCACAUCUUUGGUUAUCAUUUUCGUUUUUACAAUCGCAUUCACAGAUUUUUUGCACUCUACGGUGGCUUAGGACAAUUUUGCGAUAUAUGCGAUAUGAUAUAUAUUUCGAUUUAUUAUCACAUGGUCUACGUUAGAAGUCUUUCUUUGCAGGCAUAUUUUGUCGUACUUGCUCAUUUUGAACUGUGACACACUGUACCGAUUUCAAUAUAUCCGAACACUUAACGAAUGACAUUGCGGAUAGAGUUCUCCCUAAAACCUCAUCAUGUAGCCCGUUAACAAUAUAUUUAGUCAUCGCUUUAUCGUCUAGAGUACCAUGGAGACCGAUAGCUAACAUGCUACAUUAGUACUCGACCAUUGUUUCACCUUGGUUUUGUUUAGUAUUCAUCAAUUGAAUCUCGGCACUAUUUAUAACGCAUGGAAAGUCGUCCGAAAAUGCAGCAACAAAGUCUUUGCAGUUUUUAAAUACUGGCCGACCAUUAACACAACAUUUCGCGGCGCCUAAUAAUUUACUUUGAAUUGUGAAUGACACAAUUCCAUCAUGCCACUGGUAUACGUCUUUCAAUUCUUCAACCCUUUCAACAAAUUGAACUGAUGUGAUGAGUAUCAAUUAAUAACAUGAUUAAUAAAAGCAAACAACGGUUGGUUAUGAGAAUUAUCCUACUUGGCUUUACCGUGAUUAGCUAUAUCAUUGUCUCCAAAUAAUGCUGGUGUUGAAAUAAAACAUUCCAUCGUAGUUGAUUGAACAUAAAGUUCGCAUCAUCUACCAUAUUCGAUUGGCUGCAAAAGCCGAAUUGAAUUUUAGGUUAUGCCGUACACAUAAAACAACAGACGACAGACCAUCACAAUUGCAUACUACACUCACUGCGAUAACAGUGACAUGCAUUUGUAUUUGUAUUUUUAUUAUGAUAAAACCCAUACAAAAGACAGUGUCUUAUAUAAAGCAUGGGUUAGUAAAUUGAUAAAUACAAUGAGUUCAACAAGUUUUCAUUUAAAUAGAACAAUAAUUGGUACAAAAUAUUUAACAAUUUGAGCAAAGUUACUGAUACAAUAUUUAAGUUAAAAAAAAGUUUAAACAAAACAAAAAAAAAGAAAAAGAAACUUUAAAGAAAAUUUAACAAUUUAAUCAAAGUUACUAAUAAAAUAAAUUAAAAAAAAAUAGUUAUAAAAAAAACAAAACAAAUAAUUAAUUAAAAUGAUUAUAAAUCAAAGAUUUGAACUGUCGCUCAUUACUUAUAAUUUGAAUACUAUUGGGAAGAUUAUUCCAGAGAAAGUUAGCAAAACGCAAAACAGAAGCCAGAUAUGACGGUUCAUUGGUAUAAAUUAUCUUGUGGAUCAUUUGCAACAAGCGUAUCUUAAGGAACGAGUUAAAAGAGACACCAUAUACUUGUCUGGAAAAGUCAGAUACCCGGUCUCUUCUACGCAAACCAAAAAUGUAUCUAACGACAUCGUUAAAGGCCACAUGCAAUUUAUUCCUAUGAGUUACAUCACAACCGUAAAAAACCUCGCAAGAGUAUAAUAGUUUCGGCAGAAUAAACGUCCUAGCCAAAAGCAUUCUUAUUGACAAAGGGGUAUACUGUCGACUCAUAUAUAAGUUUCGUUAAACGCCGUAGGUCCUGCCCACUGUCAUUCUGACAUGAUUCUUCCAUGAAAGUCUAUCAUCAAACUCCAAACCAAGGUUUCUUGCAGAUGAAACAAUCUCAAUUGGGGCUCCAGCAAUUGCCACAUCAAGAUUGGGCGGCAUUGUCACCCGAUUCCUACCAAUUACAAGGCACUGUGACUUUAUUGGAUUUAAAAGAAGUCCGUUGGCGUUUGCCCAUGUGUUUAUCCUAUCCAAGUCAUUAUUUAGUCGAAGUACGCCAUCGAUCAACCUCCCCGGCGAGGAGCUCAUAUACAGCUGUACGUCGUCGGCAUACAUAUGAAUACCACAGUUGCGCAACUGUCCAGGAAGGUCAUUGCUAUAUAAGGAAAAAAGGAGUGGGCAGUGCAGUUCGUGAUCAUUGCAAAGAAACAGUUGCUGGAAAUGAGAAAUACGGAGUGCCUAUUUCAAAGAUGAAAUAAAAGUUGAGUAAAUAGAUUUAAACAUUCUCUUAAAUGUAUUUACUCAACUGUUUUUUUUUUGUCAUUCAAUAACGACAACUAAUAAAAUUUAUUUGCUACCAUAUAA